ACGUGCUACAAUGGCGUAAACAGAGGGAAGCGAACCCGCGAGGGGGAGCGAAUCCCAAAAAUAACGUCCCAGUUCGGAUUGUAGUCUGCAACCCGACUACAUGAAGCCGGAAUCGCUAGUAAUCGCGGAUCAGAAUGCCGCGGUGAAUACGUUCCCGGGUCUUGUACACACCGCCCGUCACACCAUGAGAGUCGGGAACACCCGAAGUCCGUAGUCUAACCGCAAGGGGGGCGCGGCCGAAGGUGGGUCCGGUAAUUGGGGUGAAGUCGUAACAAGGUACC
Molecule: ribosomal RNA, 281 nt
Filed under: uncultured bacterium
Lineage: Bacteria
Description: partial 16S ribosomal RNA
Rfam family: Bacterial small subunit ribosomal RNA
Source: RNAcentral